RNAcentral lists this transfer-messenger RNA (363 nucleotides) under Escherichia coli. It matches the Rfam family "transfer-messenger RNA". Rfam says of the family: Bacterial tmRNA, also known as 10Sa RNA or SsrA, is named for its dual tRNA and mRNA-like properties. The record is from RNAcentral. Lineage: Bacteria; Pseudomonadati; Pseudomonadota; Gammaproteobacteria; Enterobacterales; Enterobacteriaceae.
GGGGCUGAUUCUGGAUUCGACGGGAUUUGCGAAACCCAAGGUGCAUGCCGAGGGGCGGUUGGCCUCGUAAAAAGCCGCAAAAAAUAGUCGCAAACGACGAAAACUACGCUUUAGCAGCUUAAUAACCUGCUUAGAGCCCUCUCUCCCUAGCCUCCGCUCUUAGGACGGGGAUCAAGAGAGGUCAAACCCAAAAGAGAUCGCGUGGAAGCCCUGCCUGGGGUUGAAGCGUUAAAACUUAAUCAGGCUAGUUUGUUAGUGGUGUGUCCGUCCGCAGCUGGCAAGCGAAUGUAAAGACUGACUAAGCAUGUAGUACCGAGGACGUAGGAAUUUCGGACGCGGGUUCAACUCCCGCCAGCUCCACCA